GACGAGCCUCACAAACGUUAUUCGGAAUUACUGGGCUUAAAGGGUGCGUAGGCGGCGCGGAAAGUUGGGUGUGAAAUCCCUCGGCUCAACCGAGGAAUUGCGCUCAAAACUACCGUGCUCGAGGGAGAUAGAGGAAUGCGGAACUUACGGUGGAGCGGUGAAAUGCGUUGAUAUCGUAGGGAACACCAGUGGCGAAAGCGGCAUUCUGGAUCUCUUCUGACGCUGAUGCACGAAAGCUAGGGUAGCAAACGGG
This 253-nucleotide ribosomal RNA is filed under the name uncultured bacterium. RNAcentral describes it as "partial 16S ribosomal RNA". It matches the Rfam family "Bacterial small subunit ribosomal RNA", at positions 524 to 776 of the family's 1533-position model. The record is from RNAcentral.